Molecule: small RNA, 189 nt
Filed under: Lysinibacillus odysseyi 34hs-1 = NBRC 100172
Lineage: Bacteria; Bacillati; Bacillota; Bacilli; Caryophanales; Bacillaceae
Description: Bacillus sRNA ncr1575
Rfam family: Bacillus sRNA ncr1575
Source: Rfam by way of RNAcentral
AGUACUAUAUAUGAAGGGAAGAUCGGUGACAGAUGAUUAAAUAAUUCUAUUUUACACGUAAAAUGUAUACGCAUUUUCAUUUAAAAUAGGAUUAGUCUGCCCAUUUAUAAUACCUUCUUCAUAUUUUUAUGAAGCUUAUUUAUGUAUGAAUGCUAAUCCUUCUGAAUUAUUUUUCAGAAGGAUUUUUUA